Molecule: ribosomal RNA, 1221 nt
Filed under: Actinomycetota bacterium
Lineage: Bacteria; Bacillati; Actinomycetota
Description: bacterial SSU rRNA
Rfam family: Bacterial small subunit ribosomal RNA
Source: RNAcentral
GGGCNGNCGCUGCUACCAUGCAGUCGACGAUGAAGCCCAGCUUGCUGGGUGGAUUAGUGGCGAACGGGUGAGUAACACGUGAGCAACCUGCCCCUGACUCUGGGAUAAGCGCUGGAAACGGCGUCUAAUACUGGAUAUGUCCCGUCACCGCAUGGUGUGCGGGUGGAAAGAUUUUUCGGUUGGGGAUGGGCUCGCGGCCUAUCAGCUUGUUGGUGAGGUAAUGGCUCACCAAGGCGUCGACGGGUAGCCGGCCUGAGAGGGUGACCGGCCACACUGGGACUGAGACACGGCCCAGACUCCUACGGGAGGCAGCAGUGGGGAAUAUUGCACAAUGGGCGAAAGCCUGAUGCAGCAACGCCGCGUGAGGGAUGACGGCCUUCGGGUUGUAAACCUCUUUUAGCAGGGAAGAAGCGAAAGUGACGGUACCUGCAGAAAAAGCACCGGCUAACUACGUGCCAGCAGCCGCGGUAAUACGUAGGGUGCAAGCGUUAUCCGGAAUUAUUGGGCGUAAAGAGCUCGUAGGCGGUCUGUCGCGUCUGCUGUGAAAUCCCGAGGCUCAACCUCGGGCUUGCAGUGGGUACGGGCAGACUAGAGUGCGGUAGGGGAGAUUGGAAUUCCUGGUGUAGCGGUGGAAUGCGCAGAUAUCAGGAGGAACACCGAUGGCGAAGGCAGAUCUCUGGGCCGUAACUGACGCUGAGGAGCGAAAGGGUGGGGAGCAAACAGGCUUAGAUACCCUGGUAGUCCACCCCGUAAACGUUGGGAACUAGUUGUGGGGUCCUUUCCACGGAUUCCGUGACGCAGCUAACGCAUUAAGUUCCCCGCCUGGGGAGUACGGCCGCAAGGCUAAAACUCAAAGGAAUUGACGGGGACCCGCACAAGCGGCGGAGCAUGCGGAUUAAUUCGAUGCAACGCGAAGAACCUUACCAAGGCUUGACAUACACGAGAACGGGCCAGAAAUGGUCAACUCUUUGGACACUCGUGAACAGGUGGUUGCAUGGGUUGUCGUCAGCUCGUGUCGUGAGAUGUUGGGUUAAGUCCCGCAACGAGCGCAACCCUCGUUCUAUGUUGCCAGCACGUAAUGUGGAACUCAUGGGAUACUGCCGGGGUCACUCGGAGGAAGUGGGGAUGACGUCAAAUCAUCAUGCCCUUAUGUCUUGGGCUUCACGCAUGCUACAAUGNCCGGUACAAUGGNCUGCNAUACCGUAAAGGGUGGAACGAANC